This 83-nucleotide small RNA is filed under the name Flavobacterium lacus. RNAcentral's name for it is "Flavo-1 RNA". It matches the Rfam family "Flavo-1 RNA". Lineage: Bacteria; Pseudomonadati; Bacteroidota; Flavobacteriia; Flavobacteriales; Flavobacteriaceae. The record is from RNAcentral.
CUCCAGCCCCGAUUGCAGUGGAAAUCUUUUUGUUUCGAGCUUUGCUCGUGAACAAAAAAUUGGAACGGAAAGCGGGAAUAUGG